Long non-coding RNA from Zonotrichia leucophrys gambelii, 576 nucleotides. RefSeq lists it as uncharacterized. NCBI's taxonomy places the organism in Eukaryota, Metazoa, Chordata, Aves, Passeriformes, Passerellidae. The record is from RefSeq and is a predicted model, not a curated record. The transcript has 5 exons.
AAUCCUUAAGCAAAGUUCUUUUGCACAUCUCUUUUAACUUUUAAUGCACUAGAUAUGCAGCAAGUAGCAGUAAUUUUCUAGUGCCUUGUUUGAAAGAAAUGGUGUCUAAAUAUAAAUAGCAACUGAAAGUUACUAGUGCACAAAGUACUGGACAUGAGGAUAAGCUGGUAAAACCAAUGAGGACAAGUUGCUUUAUGGUCUAAGAAAAAAUAUGAAAGCAUGAGAGAUAAACAAUUACGGAAAAGAAGAUGCCAUGUGUCACAGACCCUUUAUGGAGUGACACCAACCAUGGAGCUGGGCUCCCAGGUAUGUGUAAGUAAAUGCUUCACCUCAGACUUACAGCUGGUGCUCACUAGCACCAUAUUCUCCAUUUGCUGAAAGACCAGGGAACAGGAUUUGAAGAGAAGAGAAAAUCCCAAGUUUCAGCAGCAGUAGACCACACUAGAAGCAGAUGCCACCAGAAGAAAAUAUAAGUAGAGCAGAUCAGUGAAGAAACAGAUUUCUGCAAUAAGAUGUUCUCAGCAAGAAUGGAAAAGAGAAGGGUGGCUUCUUGUGACAAAGGGAGAAGAGUUAAUG